AACGAACGCUGGCGGCGUGCCUAACACAUGCAAGUCGAACGUGAUUAGAGAGCUUGCUCUCUAUGAAAGUGGCGCACGGGUGAGUAACGCGUAGAUAAUCUGCCUGAUUGGUCUGGGAUAACACUUCGAAAGGGGUGCUAAUACCGGAUAAGCCCACGGAGACCUUGGUCUUUGCGGGAAAAGGGGGGGACCUUCGGGCCUUCUGCCAUCAGAUGAGUCUGCGUACCAUUAGCUAGUUGGUAGGGUAAAGGCCUACCAAGGCGACGAUGGUUAGCUGGUAUGAGAGGAUGAGCAGCCACACUGGAACUGAGACACGGUCCAGACUCCUACGGGAGGCAGCAGUGGGGAAUUUUGCGCAAUGGGGGAAACCCUGACGCAGCAACGCCGCGUGAGUGAUGAAGGCUCUUGGGUCGUAAAGCUCUGACAGAGGGAAAGAAAUGUGGGUGGCUAAUAUCCAUACCACUUGACGGUACCCUCAAAGGAAGCACCGGCUAACUCCGUGCCAGCCGCCGCCGUAA
Molecule: ribosomal RNA, 518 nt
Filed under: uncultured bacterium
Lineage: Bacteria
Description: partial 16S ribosomal RNA
Rfam family: Bacterial small subunit ribosomal RNA
Source: RNAcentral